CCAAUAGCGUAUAUUAGUGUUGUUGCGGUUAAAAAGCUCGUAGUUGAAUUUCGGGAUUGGGAUAUAUCGGUCAUGCCUUUAGGGGCAUGAAUUGGUGUGUAGCCAAUUUCUCACCUUCUGGUGAAUUGGGAUGCUCUUGGGUGUUUCAAUGAACUAGGACUUUUACUUUGAAAAAAAUAGAGUGUUUAAAGCGGGCAUUUUUGCUUGAAUACAUUAGCAUGGAAUAAUAAAAUAGGACGAUGGUUCUAUUUUGUUGGUUUUAGGACCACGUAAUGAUUAAUAGGGAUAGUUGGGGGCAUUAGUAUUCAAUAGUCAGAGGUGAAAUUCUUGGAUUUAUUGAGGACUAACUACUGCGAAAGCAUUUGCCAAGGAUGUUUUCAUUAAUCAAGAACGAAAGUUAGGGGAUCGAAGACGAUUUAUGUACGUCGUAGUCUUAACCAUAAACUAUGCCGACUAGGAAUCAGACAAAGUUCAUUUUUUAACGACUUGUUUGGUACCUUACG
This 503-nucleotide ribosomal RNA is filed under the name uncultured Glomeromycotina. RNAcentral's name for it is "partial small subunit ribosomal RNA". It matches the Rfam family "Eukaryotic small subunit ribosomal RNA", at positions 591 to 1092 of the family's 1831-position model. Lineage: Eukaryota; Fungi; Glomeromycota. The record is from RNAcentral.